This 219-nucleotide long non-coding RNA is filed under the name Carica papaya (papaya). RNAcentral describes it as "long non-coding RNA (CPAP_LNC001028)". Lineage: Eukaryota; Viridiplantae; Streptophyta; Magnoliopsida; Brassicales; Caricaceae. The record is from RNAcentral.
UAGUUUUAACAUUAUUUUGAGCAUGGAUUGGUUAGAGGUCUAUCAUGCCAUAAUCGACUAUUGUGAUAAAACUGUAACCCUCUGUUCCCCUAAAAAGAAACAAUCGUAAAGCCAAGGCAAAUAGGAAAUUCUGUUUUGUUUGAAGCUAUAUUUUUGUAAAUAAAAUUGAAAAUUUUAAAUUAAGCAUGUUUAACAUUUUAUAUGAAAUGCAUGACAAAG